AUGAACGCUGGCGGCGUGCCUCAUACCUGCAAGUCGAGCGAACAGACGAGGAGCUUGCUCCUCUGACGUUAGCGGCGGACGGGUGAGUAACACGUGGAUAACCUACCUAUAAGACUGGGAUAACUUCGGGAAACCGGAGCUAAUACCGGAUAAUAUAUUGAACCGCAUGGUUCAAUAGUGAAAGACGGUUUUGCUGUCACUUAUAGAUGGAUCCGCGCCGCAUUAGCUAGUUGGUAAGGUAACGGCUUACCAAGGCAACGAUGCGUAGCCGACCUGAGAGGGUGAUCGGCCACACUGGAACUGAGACACGGUCCAGACUCCUACGGGAGGCAGCAGUAGGGAAUCUUCCGCAAUGGGCGAAAGCCUGACGGAGCAACGUCGCGUGAGUGAUGAAGGUCUUCGGAUCGUAAAACUCUGUUAUUAGGGAAGAACAAAUGUGUAAGUAACUAUGCACGUCUUGACGGUACCUAAUCAGAAAGCCACGGCUAACUACGUG
This 496-nucleotide ribosomal RNA is filed under the name uncultured bacterium. Its description in RNAcentral is "partial 16S ribosomal RNA". It matches the Rfam family "Bacterial small subunit ribosomal RNA", at positions 29 to 507 of the family's 1533-position model. The record is from RNAcentral.